Non-coding RNA from Chiloscyllium plagiosum (whitespotted bambooshark), 73 nucleotides. The record is from the annotation of a RefSeq genome assembly. Lineage: Eukaryota; Metazoa; Chordata; Chondrichthyes; Orectolobiformes; Hemiscylliidae.
GGUCGGUGAGCUCAGCUGGUGAGAGCGUGGUGCUGAUAACGCCAAGGUCGUGGGUUCAAUCCCGCACUGACCA